RNAcentral lists this ribosomal RNA (305 nucleotides) under uncultured bacterium. RNAcentral describes it as "bacterial SSU rRNA". It matches the Rfam family "Bacterial small subunit ribosomal RNA", at positions 335 to 634 of the family's 1533-position model. The record is from RNAcentral.
GGCCUACGGGGGGCAGCAGUAGGGAAUUUUCGUCAAUGGGCGCAAGCCUGAACGAGCGAUGCCGCGUGAGUGAAGAAGGCCUUCGGGUCGUAAAGCUCUGUUGCGGGGGAAAAAAGGCAGCAUCAGGAAAUGGGUGCUGACUGAUGGUGCCCCGCCAGAAAGUCACGGCUAACUACGUGCCAGCAGCCGCGGUAAUACGGAGGAUGCGAGCGUUAUCCGGAUUUAUUGGGUUUAAAGGGUGCGCAGGCGGGAGAUCAAGGCAGCGGUAAAAUGUCGGGGCUCAACCCCGGCCGGCCGUUGAAACG